AUGGAAGAUUGGCAUCAAUGCUCCUACUUUCUCCGUAGAUUCCUCAGAGGUUGGUCUAAUAAUCACUAUGCUGAGUCUAGGCGGGACAAGGCUAGUUUGGCCGCUCAAAUUGCGGUACUUGAUGCUCGUGCGGAUAAUCUAGGCCUUUCCGCGGCUCAAUGGCAGUCUCGGUAUGGACUCAAAGAGGCUUUGUUGGGUAUUCAUCAUCAGGAGGAGGUGUAUUGGAAACAAAGAGGCACUAUUAACUGGACCUUAAAGGGCGACUCGCCCACGGCCUACUUCUUUGCCAUCGCAAACGGCAGACGGUGGAGAUGCCUGAUCGACAGUCUCAUGGUUGAGGGCGUCAGGAUCUCGGAUCAAUCGGUGAUCAUGUGGCAUGUGGUUCACUUCUACUCUACCCUCCUUUCUGCUAAACCAGACUUGGGGUUUAGGUUGGUGUCGUCCUUCUGGUCGUCCCUCGAACAGGUCUCGAGCGAUGAAAACAAAAGUCUGUUGAUCCCCCCGUCUGAAAAGGAGAUUUUCGAUGCGAUUCGAUAUGCCAAUCCCAAUGCGGCCUCUGGGCCUGAUGGUUUUUCCAUCCCCUUCUUUAGACAAUUUUGGCCUCAGUUAAAAGGCCUCAUCUUGGCUAUUAUUCAAGGUUUUUGGUUGGGAACUGUUGACAUUUCUAGACUGAAUUACGCGGUGCUUACUCUCAUCCCUAAGAUCAAAGGUGCUGACUUGAUCUCCCAAUUUAGGCCCAUUGCUCUAAUCAAUAACUUCGUGAAGAUUCCGGCUAAGGGUCUGGCCACUAGGGUUUCUCCGAUCGCUCACCGUGUCAUUAGUCCUUCCCAAUCCGCUUUUAUAAAGGGGAGAUUCAUACUGGAUGGGGUUCUUUGCUUGCAUGAGAUUGUUCAUGACUUGCGGACCAAGGGCACUCGGGCUGUAGUUCUUAAACUUGACUCUGAAAAGGCCUACGAUUCGGUGAGCUGGAAUUUCCUCCGUCAGGUUCUUCUUGCUAAGGGUUUCGAGGGUGCGGUGGUCCAUCAUUUUAUGCAGCUUGUUACGGGUGCGCACAUGGCUGUGGUGGUUAAUGGUCAUACUAGUAACUUCUCUGCUAAUGGUAGGGGCCUAAGGCAAGGAGAUCCGGCGUCCCCUCUGCUUUUUAACUUCAUUGUGGAUGCCCUGUCUCAUAUCCUUUCUCGGGCACAUUUUGCCUGCUAG
Molecule: ribosomal RNA, 1200 nt
Filed under: Triticum aestivum (bread wheat)
Lineage: Eukaryota; Viridiplantae; Streptophyta; Magnoliopsida; Poales; Poaceae
Description: partial small subunit ribosomal RNA
Source: RNAcentral